This 521-nucleotide ribosomal RNA is filed under the name uncultured bacterium. Its description in RNAcentral is "bacterial SSU rRNA". It matches the Rfam family "Bacterial small subunit ribosomal RNA", at positions 19 to 518 of the family's 1533-position model. The record is from RNAcentral.
CUGGCUCAGAACGAACGCUGGUAGCGUGGAUUAGGCAUGCAAGUCGAACGGGAUCCGGGAGGUAGCAAUACUUCCUGGUGAGAGUGGCGGAUUGGGGAGGAACACGUGAGCAACCUGCCUUGGAGUCGGGGAAAACCGUUGGAAACGACGGCUAAUACCGGAUGUGGCGCCUGGCGACAUCGCCGGAGCGCUAAAGGGGGCCGCAAGGCUCUCGCUCCUAGAGGGGCUCGCGCACCAUCAGCUUGUUGGCGGGGUAACGGCCCACCAAGGCCUACGGUUAGCUGGUCUGAGAGGAUGACCAGCCCCACUGGGACUGAGAUACUGCCCAGACUCCUACGGGAGGCUGCAGUCGAGGAUCAUUUGCAAUGGGCGAAAGCCUGACAAUGCGACGCUGCGUGGAAGGAUGAAGGCCUUCGGGUUGUAAACUCCUGUCAUGGGGGAACAGGCGAGGGGACCCAAUACGUCCCUUAGUUGAGUGUACCCCAAGAGGAAUUGGCGGCUAACUCUGUGCCAGCAGCCGC